UCCAGGCUGUUGUUUUCCCUUGGCCUUUCUUAUCCUUUGUAAUUGUCCCUAAUCCAUUGUAAUUUAUUCUAAUAUUUUACCUAACGUGAGCCCAGUUUGCCGGGAGUACAUUUUAACCAAAACAUGAAUUGUCAUUUGAAAAACACAUGUGUGUUCUGUAUCUUUGACCCCUUGUAAAAGUGAGUAGAGCUCUAACAGGAUGAAACAGCUAAUAUGCAGACAAAUAUAAGCAAGAAGAAUCUUCUCGUUCACCAGGACUAAAAUUAGAAGUCAGUGGUGACCAAGAAAGUAUGCAGAUGGAGCAAUCAGAAGGAGCUCAGAGGAGGCCUGGAAAAAGAGACAGAGACAGCGAGAGCAGGAACACAAGCAGGGGGAGUGGGAGAGGGAGAAGCAGGCUCCCGCCGAGCAUGGAGCCCGAUGGGGGCUCGAUCCCAGGACCCUGGGAUCAUGACCUGAGCCGAAGGCAGUCGCUUAACCAACUGAGCCACCCAGGCGCCCGAUCCAUUCUCCACCAUCCACCCUGCUCUCUGUGGAGGCUGACUUGUGUGAACUAUGCCAGUGGACUCCUGUGGCUUAUGGUCAAUCCAGCAAGAGAUCAAACAGGAGGGAGGAGAAGGAAUUUAGGGACGUUAACUGAAACCCCACCAUGCCUAAGCGGCAGAAAGCAGGAUGCAAGGACACCUGGACUAAGAACGAUGGGAUGAUUCUAACAAGAAGAUGUUUAAUACAAAGUCCAGGUGAAGAUGUGGUGACUACAACAUUAUGUGAAGUUUUGAGUAUUGUUGACUCUCUGUGAAUCAAGAGGUGACAAAAUGUACACCUCCCAAAUAAAAUUUUAGCUUUCUAAAGCCCCAGGUAAGGGAAUGUUUGCAUUCUCUUCCUUUGUGGUCCAACCACUCUUAGAGUACUGUGUUCAGCUUUAGGUGAUACAUGAAAAAUCUGCUGCAGAUUUUAAUGCUUCUGUUUUAAUUUCAGCCUGUCUAUUGGGUACAUGGACGGAGUGAAUACAUGCUACAAAAUUAGAUAAUUUGCUAGGUAGACAGGGGGCUGCUUCUAAAAUCACCUUUCCCUUCCAGUUUUUAAGAAAUUGUUUUUUGAACCAAACUCUCACUUCCAUUAAAUUCUUUCCCAGGAAGCUUCUGGAAUUUUUAUACAAAUAGAUUUAAUAAUAAAUCUUAAGCAAACCUUAAACAAAUCCAGACCUAUGUACACAUUUUAGCCUCAAA
This is a long non-coding RNA of Mirounga angustirostris (Northern elephant seal), 1226 nucleotides long. RefSeq lists it as uncharacterized. Lineage: Eukaryota; Metazoa; Chordata; Mammalia; Carnivora; Phocidae. The record is from RefSeq and is a predicted model, not a curated record. The transcript has 3 exons.